This 1058-nucleotide long non-coding RNA is filed under the name Anas platyrhynchos platyrhynchos (common mallard). RNAcentral describes it as "lncRNA (ENSAPLG00000024899.1)". The record is from RNAcentral. Lineage: Eukaryota; Metazoa; Chordata; Aves; Anseriformes; Anatidae.
UCGGGUGGAUGGAACAGCUCCAUCCCCCGGUGCCACCCCUGCCCCGCAGGUGUCCACCAAGGGCGAGGCUCUGGGCGAUUUGGGCACCAUCCUGCUGGGUUUCGAGUGGCCCUACGAGGUCCCCAACGGGAAGUGGCUCCUGUACCCCACCGAGAUCCUCACCGACGGCAACGGCUCCUGCCGGCCCCCCGGGGGGGUCAUCAACCCCCUCAACCUCACGCUGCUGGAGGACGGGACCCCGCCGCGGCGCAGGAGGGAGCUGGGGGCGGCCGAGCCCGCGGAGCCCCCCCUGACGCUGGGCACAGCCAAGAAGGCAAAGUCGGAGGUGCUGCUGGUGAGUGGGGGGCUGCGGGGGGGCUCUGGGUGCAGCCCAGUGUGCGUGGGUGAUGACCCCAAACUGCAUGUGUGUGUGUACAGUGACCCCAAACUCAGCACAUGGUGACCCCAAACUGCAUGUGUGGUGACUCCAAACUGUACAUGUGCACAUAGUGACCCCAAACUGUGCACACAGUGACCCCAAACUGCACAUGUGCAUGUGUGGUGACCCCAAACUGCGUGUGGUAACCCCAAUCUGCACAUGUGUGCCUGCAGUGACCCCAAACUGCACGUGUGCACGUGUGGUGACCCUAAACUGUAUGCGUGUGCAUGUAGUGACCCCAGACUGUGCACACAGUGACCCCAAACUGUACAUCUGUAUGUACAGUGACCCCAAACUCUGCACAUGGUGACCCCAAACUGCACAUGUGGUGACCCCAAACCGCACAUGUGCCUGCAGUGACCCCAAACUGUGCACACAGUGACCUCAAACUGCAUGAGUGGUGACCCCAAACCACACGUGUGCCUGCUGUAACCCCAAACUGUGCAUGUGUAGUGACCCCAAACUGCAUGUGUGUGUAUGGUGACCCCAACCUGUACAUGUGUACCUGCACCGACCCCAAACUGUGCACACACUGACCCCAAACUGCACUUGUGGUGACCCCAAACCACACGUGUGUGCCUGCAGUGACCCCAAACUGCACGUGCACAGUCCCACCCACCUCACCCAUACCCACUUGGGG